CCUACGGGAGGCAGCAGUGGGGGAUAUUGCACAAUGGGGGGAACCCUGAUGCAGCGACGCCGCGUGGGUGAAGAAGCGCCUCGGCGCGUAAAGUCCUGUCAGCAGGGAAGAAAAUGACGGUACCUGAUGAAGAAGCCUCGGCUAACUACGUGCCAGCAGCCGCGGUAAUACGUAGGGGGCGAGCGUUAUCCGGAUUUACUGGGUGUAAAGGGGGCGGUGACGGGGAUUCAAGCUAGAGGUGAAAGCCGGGGGCCCAACCCCGGGACUGCUAUUGGAACUGCGUAGCUGGCGAGCAGGAGGGGCAAGCGGAAUUCCUGGUGUAGCGGUGAAAUGCGUAGAUAUCAGGAGGAACACCAGUGGCGAAGGCGGCCUGCUGGACUGGUACUGACGUUGAGGCCCGAAAGCGUAGGGAGCAAACGGGAUUAGAUACCCGUGUAGUC
This 440-nucleotide ribosomal RNA is filed under the name uncultured bacterium. RNAcentral's name for it is "partial 16S ribosomal RNA". It matches the Rfam family "Bacterial small subunit ribosomal RNA", at positions 338 to 795 of the family's 1533-position model. The record is from RNAcentral.